RNAcentral lists this transfer RNA (73 nucleotides) under Stegodyphus mimosarum. It matches the Rfam family "tRNA". From Rfam's summary of the family: Transfer RNA (tRNA) molecules are approximately 80 nucleotides in length. Their secondary structure includes four short double-helical elements and three loops (D, anti-codon, and T loops). The record is from Rfam by way of RNAcentral. Lineage: Eukaryota; Metazoa; Arthropoda; Arachnida; Araneae; Eresidae.
GCCUUCGUGGUGUAGUGGUCAGCACGCUUGGCGCGUAUUCGAGAGGUCCGUGGUUCGAAUCCCAGCGAGAGCA